AUUGAACGCUGGCGGCAGGCCUAACACAUGCAAGUCGAGCGGAUGAAGGGAGCUUGCUCCUGGAUUCAGCGGCGGACGGGUGAGUAAUGCCUAGGAAUCUGCCUGGUAGUGGGGGAUAACGUCCGGAAACGGGCGCUAAUACCGCAUACGUCCUGCGGGAGAAAGUGGGGGAUCUUCGGACCUCACGCUAUCAGAUGAGCCUAGGUCGGAUUAGCUAGUUGGUGGGGUAAAGGCCUACCAAGGCGACGAUCCGUAACUGGUCUGAGAGGAUGAUCAGUCACACUGGAACUGAGACACGGUCCAGACUCCUACGGGAGGCAGCAGUGGGGAAUAUUGGACAAUGGGCGAAAGCCUGAUCCAGCCAUGACGCGUGUGUGAAGAAGGUCUUCGGAUUGUAAAGCACUUUAAGUUGGGAGGAAGGGCAGUAAGUUAAUACCUUGCUGUUUUGACGUUACCAACAGAAUAAGCACCGGCUAAAUUCGUG
Molecule: ribosomal RNA, 484 nt
Filed under: uncultured bacterium
Lineage: Bacteria
Description: partial 16S ribosomal RNA
Rfam family: Bacterial small subunit ribosomal RNA
Source: RNAcentral